AGGAGGAACAACCGCAGUGGCGGGGCCAGCUCUGGAGCCCUGGAGUCAGCUCCGGCAGGAACUCCGGAGCUCUCCGUCUGCAGGGCCUGGAGGCUCCGGGGCGGG
This 105-nucleotide microRNA precursor is filed under the name Canis lupus familiaris (dog). RNAcentral describes it as "mir-8834 microRNA precursor family". It matches the Rfam family "mir-8834 microRNA precursor family". Lineage: Eukaryota; Metazoa; Chordata; Mammalia; Carnivora; Canidae. RNAcentral also lists the same sequence under 1 other name. The record is from Rfam by way of RNAcentral.